GGAAAAACCUUUGUGUGAGGAGUUCUGGGGACUGAUUUUUAUAGUCCUGACCCAGACUAGUCCCUUCCUCCUAUUGAGCUUCCCGGAACCCCGAUGGGGUAGUUUUUCCCGUUACGCAGCGGGAAAACUGACUCUCAGAGAGGCUGAAGAACUUGCCCAGGGUCACACAGCAGGGAAGCGGACGAGCUGGGAUUUUAACCUAAGUGGUCUGGCUCCGAAAGUCAGAUUCUCUCUCUGACUUGAGCGCUACGCCCCCAGGGCAAAGGACUGUGUUCCCUAAAACCGCAGACAACUGCAGCGCCUUGGGUAUGAUUGAAAAAUUGGGACAGAGGCCACCCUUCUCAGGUUGGUGGGGCGGAUGCAGCUGCGGCCCUGGCAGCGGGUGAGCGACCGGCAGGAGCCCGCUCCCGCUGUUACCGUAAGUCUCAGAGGAGCGGGGCAUAACGAGAAGGGUAGCUAAGAGCAGGAAGGCCCGGAGGGCGCCGCGACGUGGAAGGACUGUGCGUUCCCGGCUGGCCGGGAGUGAGUACGGGUGCGCAGGCGCCUGCCGCAGUGUUUCGGAGGGUGAGGGUACCGGCUAUCAAGGGCUCAUUGUCGUGGAGGGAGAGCAGAAGGAAUGUCGGCCCAGAGGACAGAGUGUCACCGGCCCAGGACUGGAGUGCUCGCACCGGCUGGGCCCGGACCUGGAAUCUGUCCUUCCGCUCCUCCACUGGGAGUGCCAGAUGCGCCUUCAUGGGUCAUCAGAUUAAUCCUGAUAUCUCUCAAUUAGUUCGGGCUGCUCUAAAGGCCUUCUCUGUCCAGCAUUUUGUUUGCUCCUCCCCAGGUCUCUAAUGAAGUAGAAGAGGCCAGAGUUGUUCUGUCCAGUUUCCAGGUGAGGAAGCCAAGAUCUGGAGAAUUCAGAGGACUUGACCAAGGUUGCAGAGCCACAUUAUGGACCAAAGUCUCAGACUCUUCGCAAGCAAGACUAUGAAUGUUGUAGAGAAUUCUACAGAAUGAAUGAGUUAUUCUUAGUCCCCCGCCCCAUCCUUAAAGCCUGGCAGUACUGACACGCACAAAGGAAAGGCAGACAGUUGUGAAAAAAAUUACCGACAAUUUACAAGUAUACAUAACAUAAUGUGCUGUUUAAUGCAAGUUUUUAUUAUAAUAGACUUAAAGUUGUUUCAUAACUUCCAUUACUGGCAAUAUGUCAACUUUGGAAUGUUUUCCUAAUUAUUCUAGAGUCAGCCUUACAGUUCUUGGAAAGAAUUAGGAAAAAAAAGAAAGGUCACUGUUUUAAAAAUAGGCAUGAAAAGGGCCAAAAGAACCCAGAUCCAGAUGUAACUCUGCCCUGGUCUUAGGCCCUGAGGAGGGGGUUGCACUUUCACAAGUGGCAACAGUAUGGCCCAUCUGCAACUGAACAGCCAGGUUCCCUCCAAAAAUUGAACCAUUUUCCUUUUAUUAGAAACUUCCCUCCAUCACGACCCUCAUCUUUUCCUAAUACUGGCAAUGGAAAAAGAAAAAGCCCAUGUGCUCAGGCUCUAAGCUGGGAGCAUGAUAUUGAGCUCUCAGCUAAGCCUCACGGCCAUCCUCAGAAGGAAAGAUGGGUCUCCCCAUUUUACAGAUGAGAAAACAGGCCUGAAGAGGUUAGACAACUGGCCUGAGCUCACACAGGUAGUAAGUGGGAGAGCCAGGUGAAGACUCAGGCUUGUAAAUAUUAACUUUGACUUCCAAUAGCCACGAAACCACUUUCCCUGUGGGUGUAGAUUCUGAGAGCAUCUGAACCAGAAGGCGAGGAGCAGCAAGGAGCUGGUCUGAGUGCAGUGAGGCCUGGAUUUUAAGCCCAGGAGGGAGGCAGACAGAUCCCAAGGAUCUUCGGAGAGAGAGAAGAUCUGUAACUGCUAUGAGAACAGAAUCAAUGGUGGAGGAGUGCUCUCAAACUUGCCCAGCCAAGAUUUCUGGCACUUCAAAGACAGUUGGUGACAAGCCCUGUUGCCUGGAGCUCGUAUACGGACCUCCUGGACCUAUAGAUGGCAGAGCAACAAGGUGGAAGAAGCCUGGGUCUCUGAUAUCAUGGAGCACCACACCAUAAGGACCAAAGGCCUACAAGAGAAUGAGAAAUGAAGGAGUGUUUGCCAAAUGAAAAAGAGAGAGACAGAGACAGAAACCUAUAAGAAAAUGUAAAUUUGCAAAGUUUUUCUGGGUAGUGAUAAAGGGGUGUGUGUGUGUGCGUGAGAGAGAGAGAUUUUCCACUGAGAAUUAUACAACAUCUUCAUAGAACAUCAGAUUACACUAAACCUUUUUCCAGGCAGGCAGCUGAACCAAAGAAAAAGUUGCUAGAGCACAAACAGCAACAUAGUUAUUUUUAGGCGUACAAUAUGCCACUUUUUAAAAAAACCAUUUUACCAGCCCAGUGAUAUCACCUAAGUGAGACACUGGAGCAAGAUUAUCAAGAGGGCAAAUGAGAAGUUUCUUUGGAGAUAGAAUGAAAAGGAAGAAGCCUUUCUCAGACCGAUUGAGAAAAACAGUCAACUCUCCUAUUCCUAUUUCUGUUCUCAAUUUGCUGUGAGACUUUAAGUGAGCUAUUAAACAUCUUGGACCUUAGUAAAAUGGGGUGGUAAUUUCAUAUACAGUGGGUAUUGUUAAGCUUUCUUGAUUUCAGAUCCAAAUUGAGCCUCUCUCACAAAAAAGUGUGGCUUUUGUAAGCUGUUCACCUACUGCUGGGGAGCUAAGGGGAUAUGUCUGAAGAGCUAACACAGUUACAGAUAGAUAUUCCAUAUGCUGACUCAACAUAAAUGCCUCACAUUUUUAUUUCCUUGGUGGAGAAACAUCAGGGUCUCUGGCCUGUUUUACGUGCUUUAGUCUUGGGUGGGAAAUGCGCCUAAGUAAAAUAAGCCAUUUCAUAAGUAUUUCUCCUUGCCCACACCAGUUAUUAUCGCUAACAACUCAUUUUCCAUCCACCGUGUUUCCCUGUGCUGGUUUUAUGAUAGGGAGUCUCCACCACUGUGGGCCCUCUGCUAGUCUAGCCAAUUUUUUCCACCUCCCCAGUGAAAAUGUGGAAUGGAACUCAGAAUUCUGAUAGGGCUGGCCAUGUGACAUGGCUGUUACUUCUCUGGUCUCCAUCUACUCUAUAGGUGGCAAGUUUGAAGGUCUGGGACAAUUCCCCUGAUGGUUAGAUGCACCAGUUUCCUACGGGAUCAGAUUAGCAUGUUCAAGUAUAAUUUCUAUAGUACUGGCCAGGUCUACUUUCAGACUGUUCAUGAGGAUGAGGAACAGCUGCCUGCAGUUCUAUGAAGUUUCUUAGCAAAGAACCCAGCACCAGGAAGCUGAAAGUAAGACACAUGCCAGCCCUUAAGGAUUCUCUCCAUUCUAUAGGUGUAGAUGGAGGCAGAUGAUCUGACCAAUGACUAGGUCAAAAGCCCAAGAGCACAGGUCAGGGUCAUGUGCAGCAUCUUUGGCCAAUGACUGUGUUUUAUUGAGGCCCCUGGGCAGCCAGGAGAAUGGACCAGUGGUCAAGAAAGUUGGCUCUAGUCCUGCCCCUCCCAUCACCUGGCUGGAUGACCUUGGAUAAGUCACUUUAUCCAAGGGCUCCUCUGGGCCCUCCUCAGUACCAGUCUCAACUCUGCCACACACUGGGUAACCUUGGCCAAUUCACGGCAUCAAGCAUCAGAGGAAGCUAAUACUCAGGGUGCUCCCACCAUGAUAUUCUGUGACUCCAGCAGCAGCCUGGUAGUAGCAAUGAAAGAUAUGGCCUUGGUCAUGUUAGGAAAUUGAGAGGACUGGGAUGGCAGCUUCUCAGCUCCAGCUGAUAGUGUUGCUAAAUAUUUCAUUUUUAAGUGUUUUUACAUGUUGGCAACUAAUUUGAAUUGUUACAAAAUUCUGUAUUGGCCAAUGACUCGAGGCCAGAAGUGGCCUACUAGGCCAACUGGAGACCUCUGCAGUCCACUGACCCAAAGAAGAGACCUACUAGGUGGGGACCUGCGGGGGAGGAGGGGUGGAUGCCGCGUCCCGCACGUGGAGGACACAGGUCUCCUGGCCAACGCUGGGCUGACUUGUCUGAGCUCCACAGCUCUGCUGCUCCUACUCCAGCCUCAGUUUCCCCAGCGCACCUGAAGUAGUCUAGGUCAGCCUGGGAGUAUUUUCCUCUAUCCACAGGUGGGCCCAUCAGUCGAGGGCAGAAAGAGAAGCACAGUGUAGCGGGCAGGAACCGAGCCCUCGGGGCGCUCACGCGUCGCCCGGUGGGUCCCCCUGCCUCCUAACCCGAGACGCGCCGGGCUGCCCUCUGCAAACACCGCGCCAGGGGUGCGGGCUCCCGCGGCCCGGCGGCGCGCACAGCCGCGCCCGCGAGCAAGCCCGGGGAGCGCGCUGCAGCCUGGAACGCCCUAAAACCAACCAACCGUACGUAUCUGUUGGGAGGAAAUCCGACCCUUCGGGAACAGUGAGCUGGGCGAGCCCAUUCCUGCCUGGGCUUAAAAAUGCAUUCUCCAUCUGCUGAGAAAGCCUCGGGCUCCAGGCGGCGGGGUCCGGCCCCUCUGAGUUGUCGGGAGCCCUGCAGACACCGCGAUACCCGAGGGACCCUCGCUCCGACCUGCCCCACCCCUCAGACACACACCAGUGCUCCCUGGCAUGGGGUCUUCCUUUCAAGGCCCCCUCACCUAUUCCAGCCUUCCCUCCCUGGAGGCGAAGCUCUGUCGAGUUCAAAGAAAGAAGCCUAUUUUCUAUAUAAUUCAGUUUGUGCAAAAGAACUUGGAACACGGACGACAGGGUACACGGACACCGACAUCCUCACACUACCGGUGAAACGUAAAAACAAAACCAAAAUCAAAACCCACAGAUUAAACCUUUUUGGAGGCAAUUUUGACAUUUAAUGCAUUUACAGUUAUUCCGUUUGUUCCCACAAUCUCACUUCUUGAAACUUUUCCUACACAAUGCAUUCAAAAAAAGUAUUUGCUACGUCAUUUUGGUGAUAAUGAAAAAGUAGAAAUAACCCAACCCUCCAUUAUUAUAUAAAUAAAAUGGUUAAAUAAAUAAUGAGCAUACAUGUCAAGAAAUACUUUACAUAAAAGGAGAUCUGUGUGUUCACAAACAGGUCCAAGCUUACAUUAAAUGAAAGAGUAAGCCCUAAAAAACAGUAUACAUGGUAUGAUUCCACAUUUGUUAAAGUGUAGAAAGAAAUUGUAAGUAAAUGUCUGCAACUCACUUGGAUGUGAUUAGUGACUUUUUAUUUCAUGGAUAAUUAUAUAGGAAAUAUAUGUAUAUUUUCAUAUGCACAUACAUCUUGAGGAAUAUAUACCCAACUAUUACAUUAUUUAUCUUUGGGGUGAUGGUGAAGGGGUGUAUGUGGACCAUUAACUGGGCAUGCUUAUACAUUUCUUCGAAGUUUGAUUUUUUUUUAGUAAGCAUGCAUUAGUUUUGUAUUUCACACACAUGAAACAAUAAAGAUUUUUAAAAUUGCACCCCUUCCUCAUCCUGAGACCACGAGAUUAUUAUCACUUGUCCACUUCUCUCUGAUCUUUUUAUUACUAUGCAAUUUUUCCUUCAACCUCUGUUGUACACUAUCCAAGAAACUUGCAUUCCUUUCACUUCAACAUACAAAUUGCCUGUUUCAUAUGUGCAAAUGGUUUCCAAAAUCCCUUAAACCAAAAGAAUGAAAGAAGUGAGAAUAUUACUUCCACUUAAUCUAUUCAUACAAUUCAAAUGAAAAGAUUAAGUGCAGUAUUUUUUGGCCCUGGAAAGCAUUACAGUUUUUAAUACAUUACUUCUCAAGUUCUGUGUAGAUGUGGCCUGUUUUGUCCUCUAGCAGCACAAAUUCUCUCUCGAUGCAGCAAAUGAUGAGAGCAGAUCUUUAAAACACGGUUUUUGUUUCUAUUUAAUCCAGAAAGGCUUCAUACUUUAUGGAGGAAAUAGCAUUGGAAAGUCGCACAGGAUUUCCAGGGACUGGAAAUUUCCAGGAGUUGGAGUAGGAAGGGCACUCUCAGUUGAAGGAAGGACACUGUGAAAGUGGCUAGGAGAGGAGAAUGUGACUUGGAACAUGGGCUGGAUUCUGGGAUUGUUUAAAUCAGUCUGAGUGUGCUCCCAGAAACAUGAGCUCAGUUCAUACCAUGGGAAAUGAGCAUGGCCACAUUUCAAACAUGCAGAAAUGAUGGAGUUGUCUGGCAUGUCAAAAUAUUCAUACAGAAAAAUGGCACCCAGUAGCAAUAAGCUGAGAGAUUCCACCCCCACCAAGAUGUCGGAUGUAGUUCUUAUUUACACAUAAAACAUCAUAUUUCCUUAGGCAAAAAUCUCGGGAUAUUACAGGAUCACACAUACAACUCAGGAUUUUUGCUCAGACCCCUGACAUCCCUCUCCUUUUCAUAUGCAUUAAUACCAUCAGUGUAAAAUGCAAGUUCUCUGGAAUAAACUACCUGGGUCCCAGUCCUGACUUUGCCAAAUAUUAGCUUAUGACUUUGAUCAAGUUAUUUAACUCCUCUGUGCUCCAACUUCAUUAGCUCAAAUGGAGAGAACAACACUACUCAUUUUACAAUAUGUUAUGCAGUUUAAACAAGACAAUGUAUAUAAAGCUUUUAGAGCACUAAGCUCUUUAGAAUACAAAUGUAGCCUUAGAAUAUAAAGCUUUCUAGAAUACAAAGUUUAAUAAAAGUUAUCCACAAUUAUUACUUACUCUUUUACUCCCCCUCAAAAAGCUUAUUCUUCCCCCAUUCUCCCCCCCAUU
Molecule: non-coding RNA, 6688 nt
Organism: Equus caballus (horse)
Lineage: Eukaryota; Metazoa; Chordata; Mammalia; Perissodactyla; Equidae
Source: RefSeq, a predicted model, not a curated record